GUUUUUCAAGAGGUCGUUGAACAAUAACACAUGGAGUUACAAAAAUUACAUCCACAGACAGCUACUACUAUAUUAUACAACUACUAUAUUAUACAAUUACUAUAUUAUGUUAAAAAUAUUUACAAGAUUCAGCGACGGUCAAGUAUAGACUUACAUUUUGCUACACCAAUCCCUUUCUCUUUUGCAUAUUUUUGCAAGUCAUUCCAAACUGAAGCGGCAGAAUAGGUAAUACUGGUCUUCAUAAAAUUAGUUUUUGGUUUCUUUAAAAACAAAAUCCGUAUUGUUGUUGCGUAAACUAUGAUUUGAGUUAUUUUUCAUUUCGUAUUUACCAAUCAUUGAUUGUGGCAGUUUAACAUUAUUUUUAACGUUUUAUGCAAACAUUGCAGCAUGAGCUCCACCUUUGAAUUUACUAUAUGAGUAAAUUCUUAAACACGUCCGAAUUUAUCAUAAUAAUAAAUUCGCGGCACCUAACACUAACCCUAACCCUAACCCCAACACUAACCCUAACCCCAACCCUAAUCACUAACCACUAACCCCUAACCCUAACUUUUUUAACUUUUUAAAUUUUUUUAACUUUUUUAAGAAUCUAACUUUUUAAACUUUUUUGCUAUUUUUUGAAAAUCUUGAAAAUCUCCGCACCCCCGCGCGACCAGCCUCCCUUUUAGUGCCAUUACAUUUAUAACAAGAAGUCUUGUCUAAUGCUUGUGGUUUUAUGAUUAAUUCUAUUGAUAAAUUCAAAAUGUGCCGCGAAUUUAUCAUAAUGAUAAGUUCAGACGUGUUUAAGGAUUUACUCAUAUAGUAAAUUCAAAGGUGGAGCUCAUGUUGAAACAUUGCUCUCUUGUUCCGGCAACGAUCUUUCUAGGGUAGCCAGUCCAGUUCACUUAAUAUGUUUUCGGAACUUAUGUCGUAACUAUACUGCCAGUGAUUACUCGCGCCGCCCUGUUUUGUAAUUUUUUCAGUUUUUUUAAUAAAUAAUCCGCGCAUUCAUCUCAAACAAGGCUGCAAUAAACAAAAUGUGACAAAAUUAUUGCAUUAUAGAAUUUAAUUAAUGUAGAAGUAGAUACAUAUUCUUUAAUUCGACGUAGCAUACCUAUGCCCUUAGAAACGUUUUUCGUGAUAUUAACAAUAUGUGCGUUCCAUGUUAAAUGAUCGUCAAUUACUACACCUAACGUUUUGGAUGUAUUAACUCGUUUAAUUGUUGCUUCUCCCAGUUCAAUUGGUGGAUCAAUAAUUAUAUUAGCUAGACGUUGUUUAGAUGCUAUUAUCAUAUACUCAGUCUUUUCGCUGUUUAAUGUGAGUUUAUUGGCAAGUAGCCAUUGAUGCACCUUCUCCAAGUUUUCAUUCAAUCUUUCAUUAAUUUCAUGUACGUUUGCUCCACAUCACCACAUGAUGAUAUAUUUGUAAACAUACUUACACUAGUACUAGAAGAAAGGCAAUUAGGUAGAUCAUUAAUAUAUAUCAAGA
Non-coding RNA from Paramuricea clavata, 1464 nucleotides. The record is from the annotation of a GenBank genome assembly. NCBI's taxonomy places the organism in Eukaryota, Metazoa, Cnidaria, Anthozoa, Malacalcyonacea, Plexauridae.